Long non-coding RNA from Triticum aestivum (bread wheat), 662 nucleotides. RefSeq lists it as uncharacterized. The record is from RefSeq and is a predicted model, not a curated record. Lineage: Eukaryota; Viridiplantae; Streptophyta; Magnoliopsida; Poales; Poaceae. The transcript is spliced from 2 exons.
UCAAUCUAUCUACAACUCAUGUACCAAUCUAACUAACCACGUUACAGAGUCUUGCGAGACUGUUUCUCCUGAUUUUGUGCUCGACCUAUACGCGGCGACAUCCCAGGAAGCCCAUGAUGCCGCCGUCGCCGCCAGUGCCAUCAAUAGUCCGCUGGUAGAGGCCCAUCUCCCGAAGCACAAGAUGCGUGGCAGCCAAUAAGUACCUUCCAUCGCAGAGGACAAGGCAGGACAUUCCACUGCUGCCAACGUCACGCGGUGCUGAUCUGGACAGCACUGCUAACCUUUAGUAUUGUCUUCGCAACUACGACACAUGUCAGAGUAAGGCUGGCAUGAUGCGAAUUUAACAUGUAUGUUGAGAGGGUCUCCAUCAAGGUUGGUGAGCAAAACCCGUCAUGGCAUCCAACAUCCAGGUUAGCAGACUGAUGUUCCUGCUUGGUUCGGUGUUCUACACAUCAGCGACAACAACUGCACGUCCAGCCUAUGCUGAUCUCAAAGGAGGAAAUUUUUAGCUUCGAAUACUGAGACCGCUCAAGAUGGUACAUGAUGCUCUCACUGCACAUGUUGCAUUCUCUUCUUUCCGGAGUUUUAUCUUAAAUUAUUUACUGUAGAAUUGGGUUUAUAUUUCUCACAUAAAAAUGCAGUGUUAUGUUUCUUUCCUUUUU